This 397-nucleotide long non-coding RNA is filed under the name Monodelphis domestica (gray short-tailed opossum). RNAcentral's name for it is "lncRNA (ENSMODG00000036529.1)". Lineage: Eukaryota; Metazoa; Chordata; Mammalia; Didelphimorphia; Didelphidae. The record is from RNAcentral.
CACGGUCUUUGAAGAAAAGACCCUAAAGUGAAAAGGUAGUUGUGAUUCUUCCAAUUCCUUUCACAGAAAUGUGGUAUAUGGGGUCUUCAGGGAAGAUGAGGACCUCUGGUAUGAGGACUUGCCAAGACCUUUUCAUGACUAUUUUCUUCCCUUGGUGUCCACUAGAUACCCAGCUCUUAACUAUGGUUCCAAGAUGGUGUAGCAUACACAGUGGCCAUCCCCGAGUGAAUCAUGGUGGCAGGCUUGACUACUCCCUUGAUCUGAAGAGUAGAUAACUUGUCCAUGGUGACAGAACCAAUAUGUGUCAGAGGAAGAAUAUGAAACAAGGACUUGCUGAUUCCAAUGCAGGAUCUCUCCUCAUCUGUCUACAAUACCUUCUUUUGGUCUAUAACAGGUU